UAGAUAGUAAUUAAAUGUUACCAAGUACAUACAAUUGAUAUUUCAAGAGUUAAAGUUUUAAAAUGUCUUGAUAACAAAUAUUCCUAGAAAUUGCCACAUACAUCUACAACAAUCAAUAAUUCAAAAUUCUCUUAAGUAAGGUCUAGAUCUUCAUUACCGCCUCCGUUUUUCAUUUCUACUCUACCUAUAAAAGAGUAUAAAGAAAGUCAUUUUCCCUUCAAGAGAAUCCUAUAUAAAAUUCACUUGGUCCACAAAAUCAAGAGUAAAAAGAAAGUAUAAAAUUCUGCAUUGAACUCCAAAAUUGGAUGGCAAAAUGUUGGUUUUCCCAUAAUAUACGGACAAAGAUAUUCCGGAGAUAAGGCAUCAUCAACACAUAAAAAGAUACUCCCAAGAAUGCAAAAUUUCAAAAAGCAUUUCACAAGAAGUACAAAAAGACACGUCUACCACACGCCAAUUAAUGAGGCAAAUAACUAAAUCAACUUAAAAAGUAAUUUAGAACUCACGUUAACAGAUCAGUGAAGAGGAAAGAUAGUAAAGAUUACAUGUUUCAUUAGGAAACAACCAAGAAUCUCCUUUUAAGAACCCAUCUCAGACGAUAAUGGAAUGCAGUACACAUUUCUAUUUGACAAUAAUGGAAUAAGACUUCUGACAUUAUUUUUCAAAAGUAAAUUGUGCUUCAUGUAUGUAUUAAUAAAACUAAGGUAUCAAACGUACGCUAUUACUCUCAUUAAUGGAGGUUUAAUACUCUUGUACUUGACUUAUUAGCUGGGAAGUCACCUUUAGAUCUAUCUAGCAGCUACGUAAAUUCCUACAGGCAAUGUAUCAACUCCAGAGGAUGGCAAGAUUGAUAACCGAGCAGCCCUGUACUGGAUGCCGCAGCUACGUUAUUCCUACAGGCAAUGUAUCAUCUCCAUAUCUGAUUCAAGCAGCUUUUUAAAGAGCCAAUGGAAAAUUUUCGGAGGCAGAAACGGAAAUAUACAUAUAGCAUCGGCUCACAUGCAAUGGCCAUUUUAAAAUAGACAUCGUUUGUAAUCAGUAAAGCAACGAAUUAUCACAAACACAUAAUAUGCACCUAAACAGAAAUCAUUAAAUCAAAUUGAUAAUUGAGAUUGCGGCGAGUACUGUUGAAGAGAUGCAGGAGAAGAGGGAACAAUGACAAAACAAUUGUUAAGAAUGGGGGACUUUAGAGUAUCCAGUAGAGUAUUGCCAAGGCAUAUUACUCGAUUUUCCAUGGAAGUUCUGCUUAAAUAACUAAUUAUGUUUGAUAUUUGAACCCAAAAUCAUGGCAUAAACUUUAUAGUGUACCCAUCUCAAAUGCCAUUAAAAAGUACUUCAGAGGACAAGAAGUGGGCAAAGCAGAAACAGUUAAAUCACCCAAGAAGUAUGCAAAGCAGAAACAGUUAGAAUAUUCAAAGGACAAAAUGACACAGAUAUUACAUUCUAAGGCAGGACAACUAGAUCUAAAACAGCUGCAAAUAUCGCCCAAAAAACACAGCAAAACAGAUGCAAAUAUUGUUCAGAACAACUAGAUCUAAAACAGCUGCAAAUAUCGCCCAAAAAAAACAGCAAAACAGAUGAAUGUGAAAGAAAUUAUGUGUAACAAGAGCUAUCCAACAAAUUUGUUGUGAUGCAACCAUCAUCCUCCAUAAACAGUUCAACCAGAUUGAGGUCACUACUCCCUAGAAUAUUUUGGUUACACAAGCUGAAAGGGCUACUCUGCAGAUGAAGAUAAUCAAAGUACUAUGGAAAUUUUCCCUUAGAAAGCGCAACUAAAAUAAGUACAGAUGCUAGUACUACCUUUUAGAAGCAGAUGUCAGAAGCUACAGGCUAUGUUGAGACAUCAACCAGCUGCUUAAACUGCUGAUUCUAAAACUACAGCUGGUAAACAAACUUUAUCCAUGAUGUCGUCGGCAACAAAACAACCAAAAGGAGGGGCUGACCACACAAGAGAACAACAUGAAGACACGAUGAGGGAAGACGAGUUAAGUGAUGAACCUGUCCAGAAUUUAAACGAGCUAAACACUCAAGGAUCUGCUUCGUUAACACGACAAGGUGGCAUAGCAAAGGAAGGAGCAAGUAGCAUUUAGAUUUUAGAUUCAUAUUUCAAUUUUUCCCUCAAUCUACAAUCAUAAUACUUCUUUCAACAACAACAACAUACCUAAUGAAUUCUUACAAGGCGGGGUCUAGUGAAUUCUGCGUUUUGAUCAAGCAGCAUAAAUAUAUUGAAAAUAGGCAUAAUUAUAAGAACAUAAAUCUCAUUCUAAUUGGCAAAAGUAUAAUUGAAAGUCGCUAUCACUACAAGUAAGGAAUUUUAAUUCCCUUUAAGUUGCAAAUGUAGCAGUUAAAAGUGUUCCAAGCUUAAACUUUUAUCCUGCACCUUUAUCUAAUUAAAAUCUAAACCACAAAUUAUCUAUUAAUGCUACGACCAUUUCCAGCAGCCAAAAGGACAUAACAACUCCAAUAAUAACAGUUCCACAACCAAUAAUUUUGUAAUGGAAAUUAUUUUCAGACCCGAACAAAAAUAAUUACAAUAGCAGAAAAUGCACUUGAAAUAGCAGAAAUCAACAGAUUCUGCAAAGUAGAUCUUUAGCUCCCAUUCUUUUCCACGCCAAUAAGUUUCCCAAGUAUUGAAACAUGUCUGCUCUUUCUAACUAGAUGCUCACGACCAUUGUUCCAAAUAGUUCCCAAUUUUUUUCCAAGGACAGUCAAUUAAUCGGGUUAAUAAACAAAAUAAACAUGAAUUUCGACAAAUCGAUAGGAAUACGACAGAUAUGAAAAACCAUAUAAAAGGGGAAACCACAUUAUAUGCAGCUGAAAAAAAUAGUACGAGUUAAAAAAUUUAAUUACUGUAAGAAAUAAAAUAUAAAAACAACAGUUACCAAAUCAAAAAAUAUUAAGAGUUUGAGAAAAUAAUACUCAAGAAGAGCUGCAGAUUACCCGAAUUACACGUACAAAGUAGAAACACGCUGAACUAGUAAAUAAGUAGAAACUCGAUGUUAGGGCUUUUGAAAGGAAAAUGAAUUUUGAGUAAUUGAGCAAACAGAGAGGAAAUGAAAAUGAAAAGUAAAAUAAUACUCCAGAAAACUUACGGAGAGCGAGUGAGUCGGUAAUGGCGCUGACAAUCGAGAAGAGCUGUUGACUAGAGGAGAUCGUAUUGGAGGAGACAGUAAUUUGGAGUUGCUCUAAUGGCUAUCUUCUGCAGCUUUUUGACCGCCUUUUGACUAAGAUUUGGACCGAUUUUCAGAGGUGAUUGUUUUGAGGUCUUUUUUACUGAUUUCCCCUGGGGAAUUUGGGGGUGGUUUUUGACUGAUUUCAAGGUGAUUUGGGGUAGUUUUUGCUGAUUUCAAGGUGAUUUGGGGUAGUUUUUGCUGAUUUCUGGUGGUGAAGAUUCCGAUCUCCUUGUAAUUUCUGAUAGUGAGCUUGUACCCUAAUUUGAUAGUGAAGGUGGAGUAUAGUGGUGCCCUUGUACAAGAACAAAGGGGACAUUCAGUGCUGCAACAAGUAUAGGGGUAUCAAAUUAAUAAGUCACACCAUGAAGGU
Molecule: long non-coding RNA, 3540 nt
Filed under: Nicotiana benthamiana
Lineage: Eukaryota; Viridiplantae; Streptophyta; Magnoliopsida; Solanales; Solanaceae
Description: long non-coding RNA (NBEN_LNC024693)
Source: RNAcentral